UACGUAGGGUGCGAGCGUUAAUCGGAAUUACUGGGCGUAAAGCGUGCGCAGGCGGUUCGUUGUGUCGGCGGUGAAAGCCCCGGGCUUAACCUGGGAAUGGCCGUCGAAACUGGCGAACUGGAGUGUGGCAGAGGGGGGGUGGAAUUCCACGUGUAGCAGUGAAAUGCGUAGAGAUGUGGAGGAACACCGAUGGCGAAGGCAGCCCCCCUGGGCUAACACUGACGCUCAUGCACGAAAGCGUGGGGAGCAAACAGG
This 255-nucleotide ribosomal RNA is filed under the name uncultured bacterium. RNAcentral describes it as "partial 16S ribosomal RNA". It matches the Rfam family "Bacterial small subunit ribosomal RNA", at positions 524 to 776 of the family's 1533-position model. The record is from RNAcentral.